RNAcentral lists this long non-coding RNA (208 nucleotides) under Mytilus galloprovincialis (Mediterranean mussel). The record is from RNAcentral. Lineage: Eukaryota; Metazoa; Mollusca; Bivalvia; Mytilida; Mytilidae.
UAAAUAUUAAAUGAUAAUCUGAUUAUGACAAUUAAGAACAUACAUUAUGAAUAAGGUAAAAUGUCACUAAUUAGCUAACGAAGUGAAAAAUGUCACUCAAUGUCCAAACUGAGAAUUAAAUGCAUAUCAAAGCAUGUUGAUUUUAAGUCCUGGAUACGAAAUGUAAAUAGAAACGAAAUUAUAAAAUAUAGUGAAUUAUAAAACACAG